RNAcentral lists this ribosomal RNA (484 nucleotides) under uncultured bacterium. Its description in RNAcentral is "partial 16S ribosomal RNA". It matches the Rfam family "Bacterial small subunit ribosomal RNA", at positions 30 to 507 of the family's 1533-position model. The record is from RNAcentral.
AUUGAACGCUGGCGGCAGGCCUAACACAUGCAAGUCGAGCGGAUGAAGGGAGCUUGCUCCUGGAUUCAGCGGCGGACGGGUGAGUAAUGCCUAGGAAUCUGCCUGGUAGUGGGGGAUAACGUCCGGAAACGGGCGCUAAUACCGCAUACGUCCUGAGGGAGAAAGUGGGGGAUCUUCGGACCUCACGCUAUCAGAUGAGCCUAGGUCGGAUUAGCUAGUUGGUGGGGUAAAGGCCUACCAAGGCGACGAUCCGUAACUGGUCUGAGAGGAUGAUCAGUCACACUGGAACUGAGACACGGUCCAGACUCCUACGGGAGGCAGCAGUGGGGAAUAUUGGACAGUGGGCGAAAGCCUGAUCCAGCCAUGCCGCGUGUGUGAAGAAGGUCUUCGGAUUGUAAAGCACUUUAAGUUGGGAGGAAGGGCAGUAAGUUAAGACCUUGCUGUUUUGACGUUACCAACAGAAUAAGCACCGGCUAACUUCGUG